Non-coding RNA from Nephila pilipes (giant wood spider), 72 nucleotides. The record is from the annotation of a GenBank genome assembly. Lineage: Eukaryota; Metazoa; Arthropoda; Arachnida; Araneae; Nephilidae.
UUCCAUGUGUUCUAGAGGUCAGGAUUCCUGGCUCUCACCCAGGCGGCCCAGGUGUGAUUCCCGGCAUGGGAA